This 379-nucleotide ribosomal RNA is filed under the name uncultured eukaryote. Its description in RNAcentral is "partial 18S ribosomal RNA". It matches the Rfam family "Eukaryotic small subunit ribosomal RNA", at positions 592 to 976 of the family's 1831-position model. The record is from RNAcentral.
CAAUAGCGUAUAUUUAAGUUGUUGCAGUUAAAAAGCUCGUAGUUGGAUUUCGGGUAGGAUUUGCCGGUCCGUCUUUGAGAUGUGUACUGGUAAGUCCUAUCUUCUUGUCGGGGACCAGCUCCUGGGCUUCACUGUCCGGGACUGGGAGCCGACGAAGUUACUUUGAGUAAAUUAGAGUGUUCAAAGCAAGUCUACGCUCUGAAUAUAUUAGCAUGGAAUAACACGAUAGGACUCUGGCUUAUCUUGUUGGUCUGUGAGACCAGAGUAAUGAUUAAGAGGGACAGUCGGGGACAUUCGUAUUUCAUUGUCAGAGGUGAAAUUCUUGGAUUUAUGAAAGACGAACUUCUGCGAAAGCAUUUGUCAAGGAUGUUUUCAUUAA